CCGCCUCCGGGCCGACGCUGCCCAUUGGACUACCCGCCCCCUGAGGUUAGGGCCCGGCGGUUACCCGGGAAUCCCGUACCUGAGCGAGAACCCUGGCGCGUGGCUGGGGCUUCCCCGGUGCCCCGAGAGGCAGGAGAUGAAUGGUGUUAUUGAGGAGGCCAGGCACGCAGGCAAAGGAAAGCUGCUUCUGGCCCCUCUGAGCUGAAAGAAGUGUGGCAAGAAUCUUCAAAUGGAGGCCACUUUUGCCCCAAGCACAAAAUAGACAGAAGUACAGAAACUUCCUGUUUGCAGCUCCUGAGACCACGUUCCGGUGAUGGAACCUCAAAGGAAUUUGUGCAUUCCUCUCCCACAAGUGUCCAGGGGCAGGGGUGCUGGGAGAAUGAGUUCACAGAAGAAGCUAGAACAGCAGAGCCAUAAGAGAUGAGACAAUGUGCAAGAGAAAGAAAAAAAAAAGAGUGAGCCAACAUACGAGUUUUCCUCCAAAUAGGAAAGCUUUGGUAAAAAGGCUACUCGAAACUAAAUAAGUCACAUCUGUAACUCCAAAGACACCCAUUCGGCAAACUUACACAAACGGGUUAUAUGCUAGUAUAUGCUAGGCACAUAAAACUCCUUCCAAAAGUGUGUCCAGAGCCAAGUCUGCUCACUUCCUGCCAAGAGGUCUAAGUCUGGAAAGAGACCCCAUCACUGACAUUCACCUGGAUGGGAAGAAGGAAGGAUAUUCCAGUUUGAACAAAGUCGUGUCAGAAGAGAGAUAGUGAUCUGUUAGUGGAUCAAUGCCCCAACACUUUGAUUUGACUGAAUGAAAGGGUUCAGAUGGACAGGGUCUGAAUCAGAAAACUCCCAACACUACAUUAAGGAAAGGGCUCUAGAGCAGCAGCCUGCCAGUUUGGGCAUUGUUUGGGGAGGCAGCCUUGGCUUCUGAGGGAAAUUCAAUACCCUAGAAGUAGCCUGAAGUUUAUUUGGUGAGUUUGGUUUCAUGGAGUCCAGAUCGUCAGAAUACUUGGGAACUACCAAAUUCUUAAGCAGUUGGGAAUGCACAUAUUACUGCUCAGUGUGUAGUUGGGCAGAAAGAAAAUAAAGACUGAGAAAUGGUGUAUUACAGGAGAAUGAAAAUGGGAUUGGAACAAUAUUGACCACCAAUUAAAAAGUAACUGGUUCAGAAGCAGCCUCUCUGUGGAGAGUGGAAACAACUGUAUACAAAGUCGAGAAGUGUCCUGUGCUAGGUCCACAGGAUCUAGAGAAGUGUUCAUUUAUGUGAGGACAACCUUUAUGUAAUAAAAGUUUCUUUAAAGUUAAAAAUAAAAAAAACCUAACUAUUGGGGCUAUUAAUGCAGCUUAGAGUUGGUGAUGGACUUGAACCAAGAGAAGUUAUAUUAGGCCAAGCCUGGAGGGACCAGUAGGCCUGGAGAAGUAUACACAAUAAAGACAACGUUCCUG
This is a long non-coding RNA of Rattus rattus (black rat), 1437 nucleotides long. RefSeq lists it as uncharacterized. Lineage: Eukaryota; Metazoa; Chordata; Mammalia; Rodentia; Muridae. The record is from RefSeq and is a predicted model, not a curated record. The transcript has 2 exons.